Molecule: ribosomal RNA, 456 nt
Filed under: uncultured Fusibacter sp.
Lineage: Bacteria; Bacillati; Bacillota; Clostridia; Eubacteriales; Fusibacteraceae
Description: bacterial SSU rRNA
Rfam family: Bacterial small subunit ribosomal RNA
Source: RNAcentral
UGGAGUAUGUGGUUUAAUUCGAUGCAACGCGAAGAACCUUACCUGGUCUUGACAUCCCGGAGACCCUUAGGAAACUAGGGGGUGCUUCCAUCUGGAAGAAUCUGGAGACAGGUGCUGCAUGGCUGUCGUCAGCUCGUGUCGUGAGAUGUUGGGUUAAGUCCCGCAACGAGCGCAACCCUUGUGUUUAGUUGCAAACAGGUCAAGCUGUGCACUCUAGACAGACUGCCGUGGACAACACGGAGGAAGGUGGGGAUGACGUCAAAUCAUCAUGCCCCUUAUGAUCUGGGCUACACACGUGCUACAAUGGCCGGUACAACGGGCAGCGAAGGAGCGAUCCGGAGCGAAUCCUAAAAAGCCGGUCCCAGUUCGGAUUGCAGGCUGAAACUCGCCUACAUGAAGUUGGAGUUGCUAGUAAUCGCGAAUCAGAAUGUCGCGGUGAAUGCGUUCCCGGGUCUU